GCAAGUCGAACGGUAACGCGGCAGAGCUUGCUCUCUGGCGACGAGUGGCGGAGGGUGNGUAAUACUUAGGAAUCUGCCCAGUAGUGGGGGACAACUCGUAGGAAACUCGAGCUAAUACCGCAUACGCCCUACGGGGGAAAGCGGGGGAUCUUCGGACCUCGCGCUAUUGGAUGAGCCUAAGUCGGAUUAGCUUGUAGGUAGGGUAACGGCCUACCUAGGCGACGAUCCGUAGCUGGUCUGAGAGGACGAUCAGCCACACUGGGACUGAGACACGGCCCAGACUCCUACGGGAGGCAGCAGUGGGGAAUAUUGGACAAUGGGCGCAAGCCUGAUCCAGCAAUGCCGCGUGUGUGAAGAAGGCCUGCGGGUUGUAAAGCACUUUCAGUAGAGAAGAAAAGCUUACGGUUAAUAACCGUGAGUCUUGACGUAACCUACAGAAGAAGCACCGGCUAACUCCGUGCCAGCAGCCGCGGUAAUACGGAGGAUGCAAGCGUUAAUCGGAAUUACUGGGCGUAAAGCGCGCGUAGGCGGCUUGGUCAGUCGGAUGUGAAAGCCCAGGGCUUAACCCUGGAAUUGCAUUCGAUACUGCCUGGCUAGAGUAUGGUAGAGGGAAGUGGAAUUUCCGGUGUAGCGGUGAAAUGCGUAGAUAUCGGAAGGAACACCAGGUGGCGAAGGCGACUUCCUGGG
This 687-nucleotide ribosomal RNA is filed under the name uncultured Chromatiales bacterium. RNAcentral describes it as "bacterial SSU rRNA". It matches the Rfam family "Bacterial small subunit ribosomal RNA", at positions 57 to 733 of the family's 1533-position model. The record is from RNAcentral. Lineage: Bacteria; Pseudomonadati; Pseudomonadota; Gammaproteobacteria; Chromatiales.